CCACCAUCAAACAUGACAGAGUCAAAUGGUGAAAACAUCAACAAUAUGCCACAACGGCAGGGUCAUGGUGCAGCUGAGUCAGCAGCCAGAAAUUUGGUGUCUGUGCUGCUAAACAGUAUGUCCACAAACUGCCCAACACGGCCGUCAGAGACAGAGCUCCCAGUCCCUAGAAAUGUGCCUGUAACAGUUCAGCAAGAAAUGACAAGAUCUUUUCCAGGAUAUUUUAAAUCAAACUUCAGUCCUGGUAAAAAGAGGUGUUUGACUGCCACGAAGCAACUUGUAAAGACAAGUAAAACAACUGCUCUCAAUUUUUAUCUUCUUCCCAAAAA
Long non-coding RNA from Cyprinus carpio (common carp), 329 nucleotides. RefSeq lists it as uncharacterized. NCBI's taxonomy places the organism in Eukaryota, Metazoa, Chordata, Actinopteri, Cypriniformes, Cyprinidae. The transcript is spliced from 3 exons. The record is from RefSeq and is a predicted model, not a curated record.